AUUCUUUCUCAGCCUUUUGGCAAAGAUUAAGUGUAGUCCAUAUUAUUAGUUUAGUAUUUGAUAUGUCCUCUAUCUGAAGACAAUAUAUAAAUGGGUGUCUAGAGCAAGCAAAUAGAAUAGGAGCUUGUUCUGUCCAUUCCACUCAUUAAUCUGGUGUUGCAGUAUCUGGUGCCUGGAGAAGGAGAU
This is a small nuclear RNA of Pongo abelii (Sumatran orangutan), 186 nucleotides long. Its record names the gene U2. It matches the Rfam family "U2 spliceosomal RNA". Rfam says of the family: U2 is a small nuclear RNA (snRNA) component of the spliceosome (involved in pre-mRNA splicing). Lineage: Eukaryota; Metazoa; Chordata; Mammalia; Primates; Hominidae. The record is from Ensembl.